GUAAAGUCUUGCUCAAGAAUGCACCGAGCAACUGAUUGUAGAAGGUAGAAUGGAAAUUACAACAACAAAAUCUUAAUUCUAAUAGAAUACUAAAUAAACUCUUAUUAAAUCUUAAUAAUACUAAAUAAGCUUUAAUCAAAUUCAAAAGAAAUCUUAAAGAAAUUACAAAAGGAAUAAUAAAAAAUCUUAAAGAUGAUGAAAGAAAAUCCACAAUAAACCUUAAAAGAAUCCUUAAGAAAUUCUAAAAAAUAUUAGAAUGAUGACAAAUAUAUCUUAAAUAAAUUUCAAUCAAGUUAUAAUUUAAUCAUAAUUGAAACCUUAAUAAACUUCAAUCAAAUCCUAAAAAAAUUCUAAAUAAAUAUUAAAUCUUAAAUCAUAUUCUAAACCAAACUGUAAUCCUAAACCAAACCCUAAAUCAAACUCUAGAUAAAUUUUAAAUCCUAAACCAAACCCUGAACAAAUUCUAAAUCCUAAAAUAUUUUUUAAAUCAGAUCCUAAUCCUAAACUAAAUCCUAACCAAAUUCCAAAUCUUAAACCAAAUCUUAGACAAAUCCAAAUCCUAAACCAAAUCUUAGACAAAUCCAAAUCCUAAACCAAAUCCUAGACAAAUCCUAAAG
RNAcentral lists this long non-coding RNA (617 nucleotides) under Physcomitrium patens. RNAcentral describes it as "long non-coding RNA (PPAT_LNC012317)". Lineage: Eukaryota; Viridiplantae; Streptophyta; Bryopsida; Funariales; Funariaceae. The record is from RNAcentral.